Molecule: ribosomal RNA, 442 nt
Filed under: Dendronotus primorjensis
Lineage: Eukaryota; Metazoa; Mollusca; Gastropoda; Nudibranchia; Dendronotidae
Description: partial 16S ribosomal RNA
Rfam family: Bacterial large subunit ribosomal RNA
Source: RNAcentral
AGCCACAAGUUAACAUUUGUGGUCUAACCUGCCCAAUGUGCAAUUAGAAAGAUGAAUGGCCGCGGUACCCUGACCGUGCUAAGGUAGCGUAAUCAGUUGGCUUUUAAAUGGAGUCAGGAAUGAAUGGAAUAACCGGGUUUAGCUGUCUCCUUCCUAAUCAGUUGAAUUUACUGUUCAAGUGAAAAAGCUUGAAUAAAGAAAAGGGACGAGAAGACCCUUAGAAUUUUUUUUAGUGGGAAAUUUUUUUCUAAUGAUUUUGUUGGGGCGACAUGGAAAUAUAUAAAAACUUUCCUUUGAUACUUGCCGAUUUUGUUAAGUUAGGAUAAAUUACCUGAGGGAUAACAGCAUAAUUCUACAGAUGAGUUUGUGACCUCGAUGUUGGACUAGGGAACUAGCAAGCUAGCCGUUUGUUGUGUGGGUUCUGUUCGAACUUUAAUCCCUA